GUCCACACCGUAACGUUGGCGCUAGGUGUGGGUCCAUUCCACGGAUUCCGUGCCGCAGCUAACGCAUUAAGCGCCCGCCUGGGAGUACGGCCGCAAGGCUAAACUCAAGGAAUUGACGGGCCCGCACAAGCGGCGGAGCAUGCGGAUUAAUUCGAUGCAACGCGAAGAACCUUACCUGGGUUUGACAUACACCCUGCCGCUCCAGAGAUGGGGCUUCUUUGGGGUGUACAGGUGGUGCAUGGCUGUCGU
RNAcentral lists this ribosomal RNA (249 nucleotides) under uncultured bacterium. RNAcentral describes it as "partial 16S ribosomal RNA". It matches the Rfam family "Bacterial small subunit ribosomal RNA", at positions 793 to 1055 of the family's 1533-position model. The record is from RNAcentral.